CUUCCCGUGGUGUAAUUGGUAACGCGGCUGUCUAGUGAGUAGGAGUCGUGAGUUCGAGUCUCACCGAGAGAU
Aedes albopictus (Asian tiger mosquito) is the source of this 72-nucleotide non-coding RNA. Lineage: Eukaryota; Metazoa; Arthropoda; Insecta; Diptera; Culicidae. The record is from Rfam.